AUGGAGCAGCAGAAUCUAUCUAAUUAGGUCAUAAUGGUGAUUAUCUUAGGUCCCAAUGGAGCAGCAGGAUCUAUCUUAGGUGUGUACCUGAGCGCGAGGAGCGCAGGGGAAGAGCCGACUGACUUCAUGGUCUCCAGCGUGCUCACUACAUGCGCAGGCCUGCUGGGCCUUGACCUUGGGCGUGCUUUGCAUGCUGUUGCUGUAGACUCUUGCAUCGAUGCAAACAUUUGUGUUGCAAGCGCAUUGGUUGACAUGUACGACAAGUGCCGGGGUGUUGAAGAUGUUGAACAUGUCUUUUUGGAUAUGCCACAGCGGAAUCUUGUCACAUGGAACGCGAUGAUUGGAGGGUAUGCCAACAUCGGUGAUGCUAUAAACUCACUUGCGGUGUUCAGUGAUAUGAUAGCGAGUGGAGAGACAGCACCUAACUACAUCACACUUGUAAAUGUGAUCACAGCAUGCAGUAGAAGAGGUUUGACCAAGGAAGGCUAUGAGUUGUUUGAGACAAUGAAGGCUAAUGCGCGUAUUUGUGAGGUCUCCAUCUCCAAUUUCACUAGCUCAUGGCCGAAUUCGAUUACAAGAGGAGGGAUUGGGGAAGGGGAAAGAUACUCUCACACGCUACACGCUUGCGACGAUUACAAACUAGCCGUUUGCCAACCGCCACCCUCUCCUGUCUUCCUUCUGUGGUAUAAGUACUAG
This 696-nucleotide ribosomal RNA is filed under the name Triticum aestivum (bread wheat). RNAcentral describes it as "partial small subunit ribosomal RNA". Lineage: Eukaryota; Viridiplantae; Streptophyta; Magnoliopsida; Poales; Poaceae. The record is from RNAcentral.